GUCUUGCGGCUAGGUUUCCCACCCGCUUUACUAUCUACUAUGUGCUCAAUCAGCCUCCUGAAGGAUGGGAUGGUGGUGUUGGCUUCAUAACUGAGGAAAUGAUACGACUACACUGUCCUGCGCCAUCCCCUAAUGUUCGGAUUUUGAGGUGCGGGCCACCCCCCAUGAACAAAGCUAUGGCUGCUUACCUCAACACUAUUGGCCAUCCUCCCCAAAUGCAGUUCCUGUUCUAAUCCAUCCUUUAUUAUUCUCGUUUAAUUCCAUUGAUA
RNAcentral lists this unclassified non-coding RNA (269 nucleotides) under Hevea brasiliensis (rubber tree). Lineage: Eukaryota; Viridiplantae; Streptophyta; Magnoliopsida; Malpighiales; Euphorbiaceae. The record is from RNAcentral.